AGAGUUUGAUCAUGGCUCAGAUUGAACGCUGGCGGCAGGCCUAACACAUGCAAGUCGAACGGUAACAGGAAGCAGCUUGCUGCUUUGCUGACGAGUGGCGGACGGGUGAGUAAUGUCUGGGAAACUGCCUGAUGGAGGGGGAUAACUACUGGAAACGGUGGCUAAUACCGCAUAACGUCGCAAGACCAAAGAGGGGGACCUUCGGGCCUCUUGCCAUCAGAUGUGCCCAGAUGGGAUUAGCUUGUUGGUGAGGUAACGGCUCACCAAGGCGACGAUCCCUAGCUGGUCUGAGAGGAUGACCAGCCACACUGGAACUGAGACACGGUCCAGACUCCUACGGGAGGCAGCAGUGGGGAAUAUUGCACAAUGGGCGCAAGCCUGAUGCAGCCAUGCCGCGUGUAUGAAGAAGGCCUUCGGGUUGUAAAGUACUUUCAGCGGGGAGGAAGGUGUUGUGGUUAAUAACCACAGCAAUUGACGUUACCCGCAGAAGAAGCACCGGCUAACUCCGUGCCAGCAGCCGCGGUAAUACGGAGGGUGCAAGCGUUAAUCGGAAUUACUGGGCGUAAAGCGCACGCAGGCGGUCUGUCAAGUCGGAUGUGAAAUCCCCGGGCUCAACCUGGGAACUGCAUUCGAAACUGGCAGGCUUGAGUCUUGUAGAGGGGGGUAGAAUUCCAGGUGUAGCGGUGAAAUGCGUAGAGAUCUGGAGGAAUACCGGUGGCGAAGGCGGCCCCCUGGACAAAGACUGACGCUCAGGUGCGAAAGCGUGGGGAGCAAACAGGAUUAGAUACCCUGGUAGUCCACGCCGUAAACGAUGUCUACUUGGAGGUUGUGCCCUUGAGGCGUGGCUUCCGGAGCUAACGCGUUAAGUAGACCGCCUGGGGAGUACGGCCGCAAGGUUAAAACUCAAAUGAAUUGACGGGGGCCCGCACAAGCGGUGGAGCAUGUGGUUUAAUUCGAUGCAACGCGAAGAACCUUACCUGGUCUUGACAUCCACAGAAGUUUCCAGAGAUGGAUUGGUGCCUUCGGGAACUGUGAGACAGGUGCUGCAUGGCUGUCGUCAGCUCGUGUUGUGAAAUGUUGGGUUAAGUCCCGCAACGAGCGCAACCCUUAUCCUUUGUUGCCAGCGAUUAGGUCGGGAACUCAAAGGAGACUGCCAGUGAUAAACUGGAGGAAGGUGGGGAUGACGUCAAGUCAUCAUGGCCCUUACGACCAGGGCUACACACGUGCUACAAUGGCGCAUACAAAGAGAAGCGACCUCGCGAGAGCAAGCGGACCUCAUAAAGUGCGUCGUAGUCCGGAUUGGAGUCUGCAACUCGACUCCAUGAAGUCGGAAUCGCUAGUAAUCGUGGAUCAGAAUGCCACGGUGAAUACGUUCCCGGGCCUUGUACACACCGCCCGUCACACCAUGGGAGUGGGUUGCAAAAGAAGUAGGUAGCUUAACCUUCGGGAGGGCGCUUACCACUUUGUGAUUCAUGACUGGGGUGAAGUCGUAACAAGGUAACCGUAGGGGAACCUGCGGUUG
This 1522-nucleotide ribosomal RNA is filed under the name Salmonella enterica. RNAcentral describes it as "bacterial SSU rRNA". It matches the Rfam family "Bacterial small subunit ribosomal RNA". The record is from RNAcentral. Lineage: Bacteria; Pseudomonadati; Pseudomonadota; Gammaproteobacteria; Enterobacterales; Enterobacteriaceae.